AUGCCCGGGGAGGGCGUGGGGAGCAGGGGGGGCAGAGCAGCCCUAAAGAGCCCGGUACAGUCCUACAGAGCCCAAUGCUGCCCUACAGAGCCCGGUACAGCCCUACAGAGCCCAGUGCUGCCCUACAGAGCCCAAUGCUGCCCUACAGAGCCCAGUGCUGCCCUACAGAGCCCAGUGCUGCCCUACAGAGCCCAGUGCUGCCCUACAGAGCCCAGUGCUGCCCUACAGAGCCCAGUGCUGCCCUACAGAGCCCAGUGCUGCCCUACAGAGCCCAGUGCUGCCCUACAGAGCCCAGUGCUGCCCUACAGAGCCCAGUGCUGCCCUACAGAGCCCAGUGCUGCCCUACAGAGCCCAGUGCUGCCCUACAGAGCCCAGUGCUGCCCUACAGAGCCCAGUGCUGCCCUACAGAGCCCAGUGCUGCCCUACAGAGCCCAGUGCUGCCCUACAGAGCCCAGUGCUGCCCUACAGAGCCCAGUGCUGCCCUACAGAGCCCAGUGCUGCCCUACAGAGCCCAGUGCUGCCCUACAGAGCCCAGUGCUGCCCUACAGAGCCCAGUGCUGCCCUACAGAGCCCAGUGCUGCCCUACAGAGCCCAGUGCUGCCCUACAGAGCCCAGUGCUGCCCUACAGAGCCCAGUGCUGCCCUACAGAGCCCAGUGCUGCCCUACAGAGCCCAGUGCUGCCCUACAGAGCCCAGUGCUGCCCUACAGAGCCCAGUGCUGCCCUACAGAGCCCAGUGCUGCCCUACAGAGCCCAGUGCUGCCCUACAGAGCCCAGUGCUGCCCUACAGAGCCCAGUGCUGCCCUACAGAGCCCGGAGCUGCACUACAGAGCCCAGUGCCCUGCACAGCCUGGUGCUGCCCUACAGAGCCCGGUGCCCUGCACAGCCCCAGCGCUGCCCCGCCCAGCGGGAUGCGGGGAUGUGGGUUCAGAGAUGGGCUGGCCCGCACGGAAACUCCCACUUGGCCGCCGGCCCGGGCAGGCAGCUCCGCGGGGGCUGCCCACCGUCAGAACACCCUGCCGGGCCCUCCCGAGCCAUCCCACACUGAUUCCUACUGA
RNAcentral lists this long non-coding RNA (1056 nucleotides) under Ficedula albicollis (Collared flycatcher). Its description in RNAcentral is "lncRNA (ENSFALG00000024768.1)". The record is from RNAcentral. Lineage: Eukaryota; Metazoa; Chordata; Aves; Passeriformes; Muscicapidae.